This 489-nucleotide ribosomal RNA is filed under the name Drosophila malayana. Its description in RNAcentral is "partial 28S ribosomal RNA". It matches the Rfam family "Eukaryotic large subunit ribosomal RNA", at positions 1508 to 1897 of the family's 3401-position model. Lineage: Eukaryota; Metazoa; Arthropoda; Insecta; Diptera; Drosophilidae. The record is from RNAcentral.
UUCGUGUGAACAGUGGUUGAUCACGAGUUAGUCGGUCCUAAGUUCAAGGCGAAAGCCGAAAAUUUUCAAGUUAAUAUUGUUAAUAAUAAAAAUAUAUAUGAAUAUAUAUAUAUGAAAAAAUUUGUUUAUAUUUUAUACACUUGAAUAAUUUUGAACGAAAGGGAAUACGGUUCCAAUUCCGUAACCUGUUGAGUAUCCGUUUGUUAUUAAAUAUGGGCCUCGUGCUCAUCCUGGCAACAGGAACGACCAUAAAGAAGCCGUCGAGAGAUAUCGGAAGAGUUUUCUUUUCUGUUUUAUAGCCGUACUACCAUGGAAGUCUUUCGCAGAGAGAUAUGGUAGAUGGGUUAGAAGAGCAUGACAUAUACUGUUGUGUCGAUAUUUUCUCCUCGGACCUUGAAAAUUUAUGGUGGGGAUACGCAAACUUCUCAACAGGCCGUACCAAUAUCCGCAGCUGGUCUCCAAGGUGAAGAGUCUCUAGUCGAUAGAAUA